UACAGAGACUGCAAGCGUUAUUCGGAUUCACUGGGCUUAAAGGGUGCGCAGGCGGUCGGGUGUGUCAGAUGUGAAAUCCCGAGGCUCAACCUCGGAACUGCGUCUGAAACUACUCGACUAGAGUACUGGAGAGGGUAACGGAAUUCACGGUGUAGCAGUGAAAUGCGUAGAUAUCGUGAGGAACACCAGAGGCGAAGGCGGUUACCUGGACAGUUACUGACGCUCAGGCACGAAAGCAUGGGGAGCAAAAGGG
This 253-nucleotide ribosomal RNA is filed under the name uncultured bacterium. Its description in RNAcentral is "partial 16S ribosomal RNA". It matches the Rfam family "Bacterial small subunit ribosomal RNA", at positions 524 to 776 of the family's 1533-position model. The record is from RNAcentral.